Molecule: ribosomal RNA, 758 nt
Filed under: uncultured bacterium
Lineage: Bacteria
Description: bacterial SSU rRNA
Rfam family: Bacterial small subunit ribosomal RNA
Source: RNAcentral
UGAGGUAUGGAGAGGGAAGUGGAAUUCCUGGUGUAGCGGUGAAAUGCGUAGAUAUCAGGAGGAACACCUGUGGCGAAGGCGGCUUCCUGCCAUACUCUGACGCUGAGGUGCGAAAGCUAGGGGAGCGAACGGGAUUAGAUACCCCGGUAGUCCUAGCCGUAAACGAUGGAUACUAGGUGUUAGAGGUAUCGACCCCUCUAGUGCCGCAGCUAACGCAUUAAGUAUCCCGCCUGGGGAGUACGGCCGCAAGGCUGAAACUCAAAGGAAUUGACGGGGGCCCGCACAAGCGGUGGAGCAUGUGGUUUAAUACGUCACUAACCGUAGAACCUUACCCAGGCUUGACAUCUGGGGAAUCCUGAUGAAAGUCGGGAGUGCUUCGUAAGAAGAACCCCAAGACAGGUGUUGCAUGGCUGUCGUCAGCUCGUGUCGUGAGAUGUUGGGUUAAGUCCCGCAACGAGCGCAACCCUCAUCCGAUGUUGCCAGCGUAAAGUCGGGAACUCUUCGGAAACUGCCCGUGUAAGCGGGAGGAAGGUGGGGAUGACGUCAAGUCAGCAUGGCCCUUACGCCUGGGGCUACACACAUGCUACAAUGGACGUUAACAAAGGGCAGCAAUACCGCGAGGUGGAGCGAAUCUCAGAAAUACGUCCUCAGUUCGGAUUGUAGUCUGCAACUCGACUACAUGAAGUCGGAAUCGCUAGUAACCGCAGGUCAGCUAAACUGCGGUGAAUACGUUCCCGGGCCUUGUACACACCGCCCGU